UACGGGGGGAGCAAGCGUUGUUCGGAUUUACUGGGCGUAAAGGGCGCGUAGGCGGUCAGUGCAAGUCAGUUGUGAAAUCUCCGAGCUUAACUCGGAACGGUCAACUGAUACUGCUCGACUAGAGUGCGGAAGGGGCAACUGGAAUUCUUGGUGUAGCGGUGAAAUGCGUAGAUAUCAAGAGGAACACCUGCGGCGAAGGCGGGUUGCUGGGCCGACACUGACGCUGAAGCGCGAAAGCUAGGGGAGCGAACGGG
RNAcentral lists this ribosomal RNA (254 nucleotides) under uncultured bacterium. Its description in RNAcentral is "partial 16S ribosomal RNA". It matches the Rfam family "Bacterial small subunit ribosomal RNA", at positions 524 to 776 of the family's 1533-position model. The record is from RNAcentral.